UAGAGUUCCGCGAGUUCUGCCGUAGCAGCAAUCCAUAGCUGAACUAUAAGGCAAAUUUUAAAACGACGGAUCGGGUUAUAGAGCGAUUGCAAUGAAAUACAAAGUUACGAUUGAGACUGCCAUCGCUGUUACCAAAUAUUCAAUCCUUCCAACUUGUUGCUGGCCACCCCCGAUUGGAGCGAAUAAAUGGGCUGUCCGACGGUAUAAUAUUUGUGGUUGGUUAGCAAUGGUUCUCGUGGUAAUCAACCUGCUUUCUAUCAUUUACAAUAUCUACUUGAACAGAAAUGAUAUCGACAGAUGCAUAAAAAUUUUGGCAGAAAUGGGAGCCAUUACGGCGACAUGCAUAAAAAUACUAAUCUGCAAAAAAGAACGACUUCGUCUUCAGGUUUUGGUAGCUGAAAUGGAGAAUUUCAUAAAGCAAGCUACUGGCGAGGAGAAAGAAUUAAUUCAGGCCUACGUCGAUAGAUGUUUCGUUUUACACACGACUGUUUUUGUCGGCUGUAUCCUCGGCCCAAUAGUUUUCAUCGCUGGCCCUAUUUUCCAGCCACAACCAUUUCCGGCUGAUGUUGCUUACCCAUUCGAGGUGAACUCAACUUGGCUGUGGCUCUGCAUGUAUGUUAUGCAGAGUAUUUCCAUCUUCCACGUUGGAAGCAUGGUCAUGGUAGACUUUUUGUAUGCCAUGUUAUUGUGGUACGCAGGCCUAAGGUUUGAGUUGCUAAAUCUGGAGUUCCAAAAAGUAACUAACACGAACGAAUUACGCGGCUGUGUAGGGAAGUAUCAAAAAUUAAUAAGAUACACGGAGAAUUUGACGGCCACUACUCGUAUUAUAGCCGUAGAAAUUACGAGCCUCGCCAUUUUUGCCGUCUCAACCGGAGGUUUCGUAAUUAUUCGGCCCUCGGGUAAAUACGACUUGGUAAAGUUCAUUUUCUUCGAGGUAGUAUCGACAAUGGAGCUUCUUUUAUAUUCAUGGCCUGCGGACCAUUUGAUGAAAGUGAGCGAAGAAGUAGGCGCCUCUGUUUUCAACAGCGAUUGGAUCGGCAAACCACCAACAAUGCUUAGAAACAUGCUGUCGAUUAUGCAACGAUCGCAACGACCAGUUGUUAUUUAUGUUGACGGUCUAGUUCCAAUAUUAUCGCUUGCGUUUUAUGGAUCUACUAUGUUGGCAAGUUUUUCAUACCUCACAACGCUACGUACAAUAGCUGAUGACUAAUGGCGGUAAACUAAGAAUGAUUAAAUACCGUCGUGAGGGCGUUUACGCUAUGUAAACAUUUAGCGGAAAAUACCAUAGCACUCCCAAAUCGCUACAUCAACUACUCGAUACCUGCUCAACUUAAAGAAAUUUGCAUCACCUGAACAAUUCCCCUGAGUUAAGUUUGAAUGCUGAAGCUUGAGAUGGCCAGCCUGCGUGAUAAAACGAUAAAGCUCCCAUAUACGCAGUCAAUGGCUCAAUCAUCUAAGCUUCACCGUUCCUCUCGGUAUGUGAAAAUAAAUAGUGAUAAUAAUUGAGCAAUCACAGUAAAUAAAAUAAAAUCCGAAAUUCUUACGAA
This is an RNA transcript of Neodiprion virginianus, 1547 nucleotides long. It is a transcript of the gene named odorant receptor 67a-like, with no coding region annotated. NCBI's taxonomy places the organism in Eukaryota, Metazoa, Arthropoda, Insecta, Hymenoptera, Diprionidae. The transcript has 7 exons. The record is from RefSeq and is a predicted model, not a curated record.